RNAcentral lists this ribosomal RNA (253 nucleotides) under uncultured bacterium. Its description in RNAcentral is "partial 16S ribosomal RNA". It matches the Rfam family "Bacterial small subunit ribosomal RNA", at positions 524 to 776 of the family's 1533-position model. The record is from RNAcentral.
UACGGGGGGGGCAAGCGUUGUUCGGAAUUACUGGGCGUAAAGGGCUCGUAGGCGGCCAACUAAGUCAGACGUGAAAUCCCUCGGCUUAACCGGGGAACUGCGUCUGAUACUGGAUGGCUUGAGGUUGGGAGAGGGAUGCGGAAUUCCAGGUGUAGCGGUGAAAUGCGUAGAUAUCUGGAGGAACACCGGUGGCGAAGGCGGCAUCCUGGACCAAUUCUGACGCUGAGGAGCGAAAGCCAGGGGAGCGAACAGG